GCAUAAACUAAUCAUCUAUUUUCAUUUACAUUGUUGUUGGACUUUUCAUGUUUUAUAGCCACAGGAGAAAUAAAUUUCUUCAUUUCUUCAUUUAUUUUACAGUCAUGCAAACUCUUACAAAGCAUUGCAAGCCUCUAAUUCAGCACGCAUAGCUGACAUGUCAUUAGAAUUUAACAAACUUUAAAUGCAUCCUAAGCUUCGGCAAAAUAUCAAUAAAUAAUUUUACAUUUAAAUACAUUUCUUUGCAUAUAUUUAUAUAUAUUUUUACACAGUUUGGAGUGUUCUAAACAUUGUAAAGAGCUGUUAAACUUACAAGAGAAUUGUUAAUUAUGAAAUUAAAAAUAAUUACUUGAAUUUUGACAGCAAAUGAAAAUCGUUUAUUGAAGUGUCUCAUUAAAGGGACAAAAAUAAAAUAAAAAUACAACUCACUGUAUUCUGCAGUGUGUAUGAGUAUAUCACAGAGCCCCACAGCAAUAAAACUCCCAGUAAUGUGCAGUUUGAAUGAGUGUAUCACAGAGCUCCACAGCAAUAAAACUACCAAUAAUGUUCAGUUUUUAUGAGUGUAUCACAGAGCUCCACAGCAAUAAAACUCCCAAUAAUGUUCAGUUUGAAUGAGUGUAUCACAAAGCUCCACAGCAAUAAAACUCCCAAUAAUGUUCAGUUUGAAUGAGUGUAUCACAGAGCUCCACAGCAAUAAAACUCCCAGUAAUGUGCAGUUUGAAUGAUUGUAUCACAGAGCUCCACAGCAAUGAAACUCCCAGUAAUGUACAGUUUUAAUGCGUGUCACAGAGCUUCACAGCAAUAAAACUCCCAGUAAUGUACAGUUUGAAUGUGUAUCACAGAGCUCCACGGCAAUAAAACUCCCAGUAAUGUACAGUUUGAGUGCAUGUAUCACAGAGCUCCACAGCAAUAAAACUCCCAGUAAUGUACAGUUUGAAUAUGUAUCACAGAGCUCCACGGCAAUAAAACUCCCAGUAAUGUACAGUUUGAGUGCAUGUAUCACAGAGCUCCGCAGCAAUAAAACUCCCAGUAAUGUACAGUUUGAGUGCGUGUGUCACAGUAGUGUCUUUUAAACUGCAGUAAACCUGUCUGGAGUAAGAUAUGUCAAUCUUGUUCUAAAUAAAACUUGCAGUUAGGUAAGUAAUUUGCUUAUACUGCUCUGAAAUGGCUCCACCUCAUGGCCAUAUCACACAUGCCAAAUGUUCCUUUUUAUAUAUAAUAUGACGACAGGUGUUCCUAUAAGGCAUUUACUACAGUGUUUUCUUUUCAGGAGCAAAACAUGAAACUAAAGUCUUGAUAAACUGCUCUAUAGAUUCUCAGAUAUUUCCACAGCUCUCCCAGAAUACCACACAAAAUAUGCAAAUAAACACAGAUAGCGGUGUCACUCUCUGAUUUCCAGCUUACAUUUCUGCUGGCUCCCAGUGCGAUGCCCCCCUGUUUUAUAACACAUGAUUUAAAGGAACACUAUAGUCACCCAGGAAUUGGUCUGGGUGCAGUGGUCCUGACUUUUUAAGCCUGCAAUGUAAAACGUUAGAGGGUUAAAUUCACCUUGAGUGGCUGAUUUCCUGACAGCCGCUAGCAGAGCUUCUGCUGUAUGGACCACGCGGAACUUGGAACACAGAAGCCCGUAGGAUAGCAAUAAAUGUAAUGCUUUACUAUGUGAAUGCAUUGGAUGAGUGCUCAGCCCUCACCGCGCAUGCGCAUAGGGUCCCCAAUCAUUUUCAGUGAGGUCAUGCCUCCAUGAUGAUGUUGUGGAAGGUGGAGAAGUGAGCAGUGCCUGCCAAGAGUCUCGGCGCCGAAAAAGGGUAAUUCAAAAGCUUUUAAAUAUUUUUUACAGCAAGGGGAGGGGGCUAGAUAUUACUAGAGACAGGGGCAAUACAGUGUUAGAAAUACAGGUUUAUAGUGUCCCUAACAGCCAUGGGCAGGAUAAUAUCUGAGCGAAGCAAUUUGCAGCUGUCAUGUUCCAAAAGGCUCAUCAGCAUGGCACUGACUGGUUUACACAGGUUUUUACUCUGACCGGAUUAAAGUAAGCUUUGUUAAAAUUGUUAUGAAAUGAAAAAUGGACAAAAAGGUCUUGAAAGCAACAUAUUUCAUAAAUCAAGUAGGGUUUGUGUAGUGUCAAUUAACAGAGAAUGGAAUAAUAUACAUUUGCAAAUUAAUCUGAGAUGGAUUUCCAUCAAAGUCCAAUCUCAGCAUACAUUUUCUAUAUAUCCUGAAUUAAAGUAAUAGUUACAUUUCUCAGUGUAUUAAUCAUGAACGCCAUCUUGUCAACACUUCAUUUAACAUGGGCCAGGGUCAGUGGCGUACACAUGACCCAUGGGGCCCCAGUGCGAAAAAUGAUCCAGGUCCCCCACGCUUACUCGGCGCGGGUCGGCCCCCGACACAUGGCGGCGGGCACCUGGUCUACGACCCCGCGACCGCGGUAUGCACACACACUUAAAGGACCAUUACAGACACCCAGAUCACAUCAGCUCAAUGAAGUGGUCUGGGUGCCAGGUCCCUCUAGUUUUAACCCUGCAGCUGAAAACAUAGCUGUUUCAGAGAAACGGCUAUGUUUCACUGAGGGUUAAUCCAGCCUCUGGUGGCUG
RNAcentral lists this long non-coding RNA (2588 nucleotides) under Pelobates cultripes (western spadefoot toad). The record is from RNAcentral. Lineage: Eukaryota; Metazoa; Chordata; Amphibia; Anura; Pelobatidae.